Molecule: long non-coding RNA, 579 nt
Filed under: Pan troglodytes (chimpanzee)
Lineage: Eukaryota; Metazoa; Chordata; Mammalia; Primates; Hominidae
Description: long non-coding RNA NONPTRT012805
Source: RNAcentral
CUUGCAUCAAUAUUCUUAAUGGACACACUGCACCUGUGAGAGGAUUAAUGUGGAAUACUGAGAUUCCAUAUCUGCUCAUAUCUGGCAGCUGGGACUAUACUAUAAAAGUAUGGGACACUCGAGAAGGAACUUGUGUGGAUACUGUGUAUGAUCACGGUGCAGAUGUAUAUGGUUUAACCUGCCAUUCCAGUCGCCCCUUCACUAUGGCCUCUUGCUCCCGUGACUCUACAGUGAGACUGUGGUCAUUAACAGCCUUAGUCACUCCUGUACAAAUAAAUAUUCUGGCAGACAGAUCUUGGGAAGAAAUUAUUGGGAACACUGAUUAUGCUAUAGAACCAGGCACUCCUCCUCUACUGUGUGGUAAAGUGUCAAGAGAUAUUAGACAGGAAAUAGAAAAACUAACUGCUAAUUCUCAAGUGAAAAAACUAAGAUGGUUUUCAGAAUGUUUUUCCCCUCCAGGUGGCAGUGACAAUUUAUGGAACUUGGUUGCUGUGAUAAAAGGACAGGAUGAUAGCUUACUUCCUCAGAACUACUGCAAAGGAAUAAUGCACUUGAAACAUCUGAUUAAAUUUAGAACAG